GAUGAACGCUGGCGGCGUGCCUAAUACAUGCAAGUCGAGCGAACAGACGAGGAGCUUGCUCCUCUGACGUUAGCGGCGGACGGGUGAGUAACACGUGGAUAGCCUACCUAUAAGACUGGGAUAACUUCGGGAAACCGGAGCUAAUACCGGAUAAUAUAUUGAACCGCAUGGUUCAUUAGUGAAAGACGGUUUUGCUGUCACUUAUAGAUGGAUCCGCGCCGCAUUAGCUAGUUGGUAAGGUAACGGCUUACCAAGGCGACGAUGCGUAGCCGACCUGAGAGGGUGAUCGGCCACACUGGAACUGAGACACGGUCCAGACUCCUACGGGAGGCAGCAGUAGGGAAUCUUCCGCAAUGGGCGAAAGCCUGACGGAGCAACGCCGCGUGAGUGAUGAAGGUCUUCGGAUCGUAAAACUCUGUUAUUAGGGAAGAACAAAUGUGUAAGUAACUAUGCACGUCUUGACGGUACCUAAUCAGAAAGCCACGGCUAACUACGUG
This 497-nucleotide ribosomal RNA is filed under the name uncultured bacterium. RNAcentral's name for it is "partial 16S ribosomal RNA". It matches the Rfam family "Bacterial small subunit ribosomal RNA", at positions 28 to 507 of the family's 1533-position model. The record is from RNAcentral.